AGAGUUUGAUCAUGGCUCAGACGACGCUGCGCGUGCUACACAUGCAAGUCGAACGCGCUCCAUUCGGUAGCAAUACUGAUGAAGAGCGAGUGCGAACGGGUGAGUAGCACGUGAGCAACUGCCCCGAAGACUGGGACAACACCGGGAAACCGGUGCUAAUACCGGAUAUCCCUAUCGGACCGCAUGAUCUGAUAAGGAAAUGGAUUCCGCUUCGGGAGGGGCUCGCGGCCUAUCAGCUAGUUGGUGAGGUAAUAGCUCACCAAGGCAUCGACGGGUAGCUGGUCUGAGAGGACGAUCAGCCACACUGGGACUGAGACACGGCCCAGACUCCUACGGGAGGCAGCAGUGGGGAAUCUUGCGCAAUGGGCGAAAGCCUGACGCAGCAACGCCGCGUGGAGGACGAAGGCUUUCUGAGUUGUAAACUCCUUUCAGCAGGGACGAUAGUGACGGUACCUGCAGAAGAAGCACCGGCCAACUACGUGCCAGCAACCGCGGUGAUACGUAGGGUGCAAGCGUUGUCCGGACUUAUUGGGCGUAAAGAGCUCGUAGGCGGUUUGAUAAGUCGGGUGUGAAACCUCCAGGCUCAACCUGGAGCCGCCACUCGAUACUGUCAUGACUAGAAUUCGGUAGGGGACCACGGAAUUCCUGGUGUAGCGGUGAAAUGCGCAGAUAUCAGGAGGAACACCAGCAGCGAAGGCGGUGGUCUGGGCCGACAUUGACGCUGAGGAGCGAAAGCGUGGGGAGCGAACAGGAUUAGAUACCCUGGUAGUCCACGCCGUAAACGUUGGGCACUAGGUGUGGGGACUAUUCAACGGUUUC
Molecule: ribosomal RNA, 819 nt
Filed under: uncultured bacterium
Lineage: Bacteria
Description: bacterial SSU rRNA
Rfam family: Bacterial small subunit ribosomal RNA
Source: RNAcentral